AAAGAACGUAGCGAAAUUCGAUGAUUACUUGCAGUCUGUCAAUUGCCAGGAAUCUCCGGAACCACUCGCAGUCUCCUUGAAACGCAAAACAAAAAAAAACUGUGCGCCCCAAGCUUCUGCCGCGCCCCCUCAGGCACUCUGCCUCGCUCGCGUCCUGUCACAAAUCGUCGUCCCCCAAUCCUCUUGAGGAUAUGGGACAGAAGCUGAUCUCCCGUGUGUUACCUCGCCAACAACGUUGCCAAAAUCGACCCUCAAUACCUUCAUAGAGCAGUCUGACAUGCGGUGUGUAAUUUAAUUCUCGUCAUAUUGUCAGACGUUCCGGUCCAAAAACUCUUGAUGACCCAAAGCACUCAACGCCGACCCCGGGUCAGGCGGGAUCACCCGCUUAUUUUAAGCAUAUCAAUAAGCGGUGGAAAAGAAACUAACAAGAUUCCCUUAGUAACGGCGAGCGAACCGGAAAGAGCCCAGCUUGAAAAAAGGACGUCUUCGGCGUUCGAAAUGUAGUCUGGAGAAGCCUCCUCAGCGACGGACCGGACCCAAGUUCCCUGGAAAGAGGCGCCAGAGAGCUGUGAGAGCCCCGUCGUGCCCUGACCCUGUCGCACCACGAUGCGCUGUCUACGAGUCUGUUUGUUUGGGAAUGCAGCACCAAUCGGGCGGUAAAUUCCUUCCAAGGCUAAAUAUGGGCUAGAGACCGAUAGCGAACACACACCCGACAGUAAAGAUGCAAAAGACUUUGAACUAAAACCCAAAGAGUCUUACGAAAUUCAGAGAGCGGUCCCAUGCUGGCCGCAUUGCGUUCGCUGUCGAUGCCGAACGAAGCAAUACCCGUCCGCUACCGAUCUCGAAUCUCCGUCGGCGUCAUGGACCGACGCUGAUUAAUGUGGUGACCUAAGCCGGGCUUUUGUUACGCCAGCGGAGACGUCGCUGCCUAAAUCGUGAUCUGCAGCACACGCCUCAAAGCGUGCCUCGGCAUCUGCGUGCUCAGGCGUCGGCCUGUGGCUCCCCAUUCGACCCGUCUGAAACACGGACCAAGGACGCUGACAUGUGUGCGAGUAAACGGGCGAGUAAACCCGCAAGGAGCAAGGAAGCCUCGCAUUUCUGGAUCCCUCAUGGGUGCACAGCCGAUCGACCUUGAUUUUCUGAGAAGGUUUGGAGUGUGAGCAUGCCUGUCGGAACCCGAAAGAUGGUGAACAAUGCCUGAGCGGGGCAAAGACAGAGGAAACUCUGGUGGAGGACCGCAGCGAUACUGAAGUGCAAAUAGUUCGUCUGAAUUGGGUAUAGGGGAGAAAGACUAAACGAACCAUCUAGUAGCUGGCUUCCUCCGAAGUUUCCCUCAGUAUAGCUGGAGCUCGGAAAGGAGUUCUAUAGGGUAAAGUCAAUGAUUAGAGGCAUUGUGGACGCAAUGUCCUCGACUUAUUCUCAAACUUUAAAUACGUAGGACGGGGUGGCUGCAUUGUUGAGCCAUCCCACGAAAUCCGGAUCCGCAACUGCCCGACUGCCGCGCAUUUAACCGGAAAGCCGCGGUUCCUGGUGCACCUCUCACCAGGGUGUUUGUCGGUUAAGACAGCAGGACGGUUGUCAUUGAAGUCGAAAUCCGCUAAUGAGUGUGUAACAACUCACAUGCAGAAUCAACUAGCCCGAAAAUGGAUGGAGCUAAAGCGCGCGACCUAUACCAGGCCGUCGGGGCAAGAGACACGCCUCGAUGAGUAGGACCUAGCGGCAUCCCCGCGGUUGCUGCAAAACUCCUAAGGGCAACGAGCACCGGCGCGACUACGGCCUGUCCGCCCUGCAAUCUAGGUUGUAUAAAAUAUUCAAAUGAUAACUUUGAAGGCCGAAGAAGGGAAAGGGUUCCAUUUGAACGGCACUUUCACAUGUGUUAGUCGAUCGUAAGAGUCGGUGGAAACCCUUCUGAUAGCUCUUAUGCGCUAACUUCGAAAGGGUAUCCGUUUAAAAUUCCGGAACCCGGACGUAGUGAGCCCGUGUUGAGGCCAACCUGAGAUCCCGGAGAGUCGCCCCGGGACAAUCUACGAAAGAUUAUCUUAUUCGUUAACCAGCCUGACUGGAAACGUAGGUGCGCUUAUGGGCCAAUCCAGCGCGUGAAGAGACGAGUGCGUGGUCUAUCGGUCGGCACACUCCGGGACUUUAAAUUCUAUAUCUAUCUCCGUCGUAUUAACUGCAUCAGUCUAAGUGAACAGUGGUCGAUGGAAUAAGGAAGCCAGAAAAUGAUGCGGGGAAAAUGGAGGUAACCUCUUCUGUGAGGUAAUUGCUCGAGCUGGCUGGGUGGUCAGUUCAACUGACCUGUUGGGGCCUGCUUAGCUCUAACCUGGCGAGAGCUGACGCUCGUGUCGCGCCGGAGGACCUGGAACGGAAUCUUGGAGAUCUUCGUCCGUCAUGGGCGCUUCGAACAGAACUAACUUACGACAAGGGGACUAUGACCUGUAAUUAAACAAGCACCAUUGGAUUGGUCUGGAUGUAAACGAUGUUGAUUUCUGAUGCUUGAAUGUCAAUGAAGAAUUAACAAGCGGGGCUAAAGACUCGGAGCUCAGUAAAACUAUGACAUCUUUAAGUAGCCAAAUGCGCUGUCAACUAUCAGUGACGCCGAUGAAUGAUAACGGAUUUCACCUGUCCUUCUCUAACUAUACAGGAAAAAGAGAAGGGCUUGGAAAUCAGGGGGGAAACAGAAACACCUGUUGAGCUUGGAUCUAGUCCGACUUUGUGAAAUGACUGAGAGGUGUAGAAUAAGAGGGAGUGGGAAGUUAAACCACUACCUUUUUAGUUAUUUUACUACCUCCUUGAAUCACGGAGCCCGGUAUACAACUUCUUUAACAAGACCUGUUUGGCGGGUGAUCAGGGGUGAGAACAUUGUAGGGUGGAGUUUGCGGCCUGGGCAUCUUUAAAAGCAUAAAGAUGUUAAGAUGAGUCAAGAGAACACGAAAUUCGUGUGAACAAGGGGUAAGCUGUUGAUUCCUGAUUUUCAUACGAAUACCGAACGUGAAAGCGUGGCUACUAUAAUUCUUAGACUGGAAUUUAAGCUAGAGUCUAGAAAUACAAGAUAAACUGUUUGAUGGAGAAGCCGUAUAGCGAUUUGCUCUUUUGAUCCUUCCGAUGUCCGUUUUAUCAUUGUGAAGAGAAUCACAAGUUUUGCAUUGUUCCAAUACGGUGGAUAUAGUGACGGCUUUAGACGUCCGCUGAAAGGUUAGUUCUUACGCACACUCUACUGAUGCGGUCGGAAUGAGUAAUUCAUAUCAACGAAUGAACACUUGCAUUCGUACAAUUUGGCUCAUCGGUUGGUUGAACAAAGAGUGGGAGCUAGUAGGUGGAUUUAUGACCUGGAAGCUAUAAGUAAAUCCGCCGGCUAGAAGGACGCACCAGGCGAUGGAUAUAGAGUUCGAAAGAGUGUGUGUAAGUCGUUCCGCCUGAAGGUUCGGACUUGAAUCUAAAUUGACGUUAGUGGCGCGCUAGAAGCCCUUUGAACCGAGCUUAAAACGGAGGUAUUGU
This 3498-nucleotide ribosomal RNA is filed under the name Brassica rapa (field mustard). RNAcentral describes it as "eukaryotic LSU rRNA". The stretch from base 358 to 3227 matches the Rfam family "Eukaryotic large subunit ribosomal RNA". The record is from RNAcentral. Lineage: Eukaryota; Viridiplantae; Streptophyta; Magnoliopsida; Brassicales; Brassicaceae.